UUGACGCCAACCCCAGCCACAACACGCACGCGAGGGGAUAAGCCCCAGGCCACACGUAUCCCCUCGCGCCGCUCCUCUCUCCAACCUGUGGCCGAGACCCCGCUUGCCUCCCUCGAUUCUCCUCUCCUCUCUCCUCUCACUUGCAAGCCCCCAAUCGCCGUCGGCCAGCUCUCCUUUCCUCGACGCUCCCUCCCGAUUCCCUCAGGAGUCACGCCCGAGCGCCCGAGGAGAGGAGCUUCUAGAGCACCGGCGCCCGCCGCCGGCAAGACCACGGCUAGGAGCUCCCCACGCACCAUGGAGUUUGCAGAGGACCUCCCCUGCCUCACGCCGCCGCCUCGUUAGCCCCGCGCCCGGAGCGCGCCACUGCGGCACCUCUCAUUCUCCCUCUUUUCCUUUCUUCUCCUCCCUGGAUCGUCCUCACCCCCCACGCAUCUCUCUCCCUCUAUGUGUUCCAGGAAACGGCCAUGGCCGAGCGCCAAGCCGAAUCGAGCUCUGACGCCCUCUGCUAUCCGUCGUGCUGGCCAGCCUCCUCUACGCCGGGGCCCUGCAGCCAUCCAACCGCCUCGGAUCUCGCCGGACCCGUCCGGAUCGGGACUCGCGUUGCCCGCCGAGCUUGCCACCUGCGCUGUCGCUGCCUUCUGUCGAGCAGGAGCUCGUCCGUGGACUCCUCUGCUCCCGUCGACCGAGCGAGCAAAUGCCCAUGACCCCCGUGGAUAACACCGCAGAGCCAGAUGCCAUGAAUUCUCCCGGGAAGUCGCGCUCCGGCCUUAAUCGUCGUCACCGGCGACCCCCGUCCUCACCGCCCGCCUCCGAAUCCUUCCCAGCCCCUGCCGUGCAUGGAUCCGUUCGCUGCAAGCUCCAGCCGUCGCGCCGCCGCCGUUCUGCAGAUCGCGGGUUGAAUAGAUGAAAACACAGGGUCCUGUUUGUAAAUUCGAAACAUUUUUCUGACUGAGUAAAGCGUGUACUGCGGGUUAAUUUCUAAAAAAUGGGGGGACUUUUCUGCAAAACGGCCGGCGACGUACGACCAGAAGCGGUCGCUGCUUUAUUAGUAGGGAAGAUAUAUAUAUAUAUAUAUAUAUAUAUAUAUAUAUAUAUAUAUAUAUAUAUAUAUAUAUAUAGGUAAAGAGGUAAAGAGGUAAAGAUAAAGAUUGCAUGAGAGUCUCGAAAUCUCUCUCUAUAUAUCUACGUGAAGUAAUCAGCCUGACAGAUACUUUCACUUGGCAUGCAUGCAGAUGAUGUCGGCCGCCGGAUACGCCAUACCGACGCCAUUCUUGCCGCUGGGGGUGAUGCCGCCGUCGUGCAUGCAGCUGCCUGCUGCAGGCGGGCAGGCGCCGGUGAUGGUCCCUCAGUACCCGGUUUUCCCGGCGGUGUACUCUUGUCCACACCACGGCACGCCGCUGCCGCCAUUGGCGCCGUGUGCUCGUCAUCUUGGUGCCGGCGAGCCGCGGCCGCUUGCUCCUCGCCGUCGCCAUCUCGUCCCAAACGAUUUCACCGUGCCGAGCCACAGCGGGAGAAGCCAGAAAUGACCUACGUACGUGCACCAUCAAUGGAAUCGAAACGAUCGAUCUUAUGGUCUGAACGAUAUGCAUGGCCAGCUAGCAGCAGCGCGCGUGAGGUCGUGUGGUACUACCUCUCUCUCAGUUUACAGGGCGUGGGCGUACCUCUAGGUCGUCAAUUUGACCAACCUAAUACAAGUCAUAUAUUACAAAAAAUAUACCAACAUAAACUUUGGAGUUUUUACUUUCAAAAGGUAUAAUUUUUGUGUUAUAUAGUUUAUAUUAGGAUGAUAAAAUUGACAACCUAGGUAUACGUGCAGGACUUGUAAACUGAAACGGAGGUAGUAGUACUUACGUGUUUAAUUACUACGGCUUGUUUUAAUUGUAAUUUCUUUUUGCGAUGAAUGUUUCAAUUGUAAUUACUGAGUAAUAAUAGUGGUAGUAGUAGUAGGCAGUAAGAUCAUGUAUUCUAUAGUAGUAGUACUUCCUCCGUUUUUAUUUACUCCACAUAUUAGAGCUGACUGAAAUCAAACUUUUUAAAGUUUGAUCAAGUUUAUAGAAAAGAAUAUAAAUAUUUACCAUAACAAUCUAUAUGAUGUCAAAGUACAUUUGAUAAUGAAUCUAAUGGUGUUGAUUUGUUA
RNA transcript from Triticum aestivum (bread wheat), 2137 nucleotides. RefSeq lists it as uncharacterized. The record is from RefSeq and is a predicted model, not a curated record. The transcript has 4 exons. Lineage: Eukaryota; Viridiplantae; Streptophyta; Magnoliopsida; Poales; Poaceae.